Anthonomus grandis grandis is the source of this 1125-nucleotide long non-coding RNA. RefSeq lists it as uncharacterized. The transcript has 2 exons. Lineage: Eukaryota; Metazoa; Arthropoda; Insecta; Coleoptera; Curculionidae. The record is from RefSeq and is a predicted model, not a curated record.
CGUCGGACGAUCAUUCCGCACGCAACUAAAUUGCCGCAACGCACGCAUUGUCUUUAAUUUAAAAUCGGUUAUAUUUUCCCCGCAGUUUACGUCCGAUUUUUGCGAUGGAUGCAUUAAUUUGUGAAGUGCAAAAAAGAAAUGUUUUGUGGAAUAAAAGAAAUCCGCCAUACAAGGAUCGGUUAAUUGUUGAAAAGGAAUGGUCUAACAAUAUUGGAUUUUCAAAGAAAGAAGCUAACAAGAAAUGGAGAAACUUGCGCGAUCAGUUUGCAAAAGAAUUGAAGAAAGUUCGUAAACCUCAUUCAGGUGAUGCUGCAUAUGAGAAAUAUACAGGCAAAUGGCAGUAUUUUUGUAACUACAGUUCAUGAAGUGCAUAGUAGCUCCUAGAAUUACGGAAGGAAAUGUUCCUCACAAUGCGGUAUUGGAAAAAUUGCAGACCUCGUUAGUUGACAAUGAAGAUACUGAGGCGCACAUCUCGGACGAAAAUUGGACUCCAAGUGCUUCAUCGUCACCAGUAAGUGGCACUGUAGAUGAUUCGCAAGUGGUUGCCACUGUCAUUGUUCCAUUCGCAGUUGCUAAGCAUGGCGUUUCGCAAGGCAAUGCCAACAAUGAUGGCUCACAACAAACAGAGCCUGUACACAGGCUGAAUCGAAAAAUAUGCCGUCUUCGUCCAAGAAAAACCAUUCUCGUUGAAAGAGAAAGAUGGUACGCGAAGAGAAUAUUGAUAUGGAAGAAAAGUUACUUAAUAUAGAAACUAAAAAAAUCGCUUUGCUUCAGCAGAGCACCAGAAUACCGGAAGACGAGAAUUCUCUAUUUUUAAGAUCUCUACUGCUAUAUUUCCAAAAAAUGAAAACAAAUUGCAAGAGGUAUUAAUCCAAGAAAUGUCACCGCAGACUACCAGUAGUACAAGUGUUGGUACAUAUUUCCCUGCUCAACCAUCAACUGUGCCAUCAGGGCCCUCCUCUUAUUUGAGUAUGUCUAUGUCUUCGCCUGCUUCCAACUUUCCUACUCUGUUUUCAAAUAGUGCAUAUAUAACGAAGGAAAUUUCGAAUAAGACUUUUUUUUAAAUAUUUAAAGAGUAAGUUAUACCUUAAUACAUUUAACUUCAAUAAAAACAAUUAAAAUGUA